GUGUCUAUGCACAUGCGUGUUUGUAGACUCAGAAUGGGGCGUUUUCCGUGGUUUCGCAGCAGCGCCGUCAGGAUGUGUUCGUCAGAGAAGGAAUUUGGGAAUGUGUUCCUCAAACAAACGAGAGAGAGAAGACAGAAAAUAGAGAGGGAACAGGUGGCUGACCGCGGACAGAGAUGACAGGAGUUUGGCACUGAGGGCAUACGAGGCUCCAGCAUUCACCUCCUCUUUCUCUGGGACGCUGCAGAAUCGCUCAGCAGUGUGAACACCAGAAGGCUGCGUUCGUACUCUACAGCCAAGGCCAACUGGCAGGGUUUAGAGCACAGCAGUUCUGUUCAUUUGAGUCUAAAGAAAUAGCUGGUGCGUGCGAGCCACUAACUCUACAAGCUGCUCAGAGUGAGAUAAUGUUGUUGACGACAUUGUUGCUGCGGUUAGAUGGAGAAUAUACAUUAUUUCACCCUUUUUAAAGUGACAGGUAACUAGAAAUGUGAAAAGAGGUAAUUCAUGGUUAAAGACUGCACCUCCAGCCAUGUUUAAGAACCCGAGCUGCUGUGUUUAAGUUACGGCCUGUUUGUGUAGGUGUGUGUGUGUGUGUGUGUGUGUGUGUGUGUGUGUGUAAGCGUGAGUUCAUGUCUGUUUAGUCUGAAGUCAUGAUCUGGUUCUGAAGAGUUUAGACUGGAAAUACAUGUGUAAUGUUUCAUAACAAAUCUGGCCUGUAACGAAACUGGAAAAUAAAGAACUCUCAGGGCAUUUCUUAUAUGUGUAAAUGAUGGUUUCUGCUGUGCAGGCAAAUACUCAUAGUGAACCUUUUUCUAGAGAAAACUUUUGAUUUGUUCAUGUCCAAAUAAAAAUGUUUUCUUAAAACACAUAUAUGACUUUUAGAUGACUUUUCUGUGAGCAUGUUCCAUCACUGAAUUGCUAAGUCUGUCAUGCCUAUUGUACUGAUUUUGCUAAAUACCACAGCUAGACUGUCGUAUGAAUGAAACACUGGGUGCAAAAUCACAGGUUAGAUUUCAACAGUGUACAAAUCUGUGAUGCUGCACUUCAGUUUUCUCUUGACAAAGUUGUGUGCGUUUGUUGUAAAAUCUAACAAUAAUUACCAAUCUAAGAACACAAUAUCUUUUUAACCAGUCAGAAAGUGAAAAAAAUUUUUUGGGUCUUUUGUUAGAAAGGUGACAAGAUUACUAGGAAAGAUUUACACUGUCACAGUCUUAUGUCAAAGAUGGAGUCUAACAAUUUAUAAGAAAAUGCCAGUGUUAACUUUUUAUCCAGAGUCCAUCUUAACCCUUUAAGACCCACCAUUGUGCAAGUCCGCCAGGACAUAUUUUUACAUUUUUACAUGCUGUAGUGCCAUUUUUUGGAGUAUUUUUAUUUGCUUUACAUCAAAAUAACCCUGAUAUCCC
Molecule: long non-coding RNA, 1400 nt
Organism: Amphiprion ocellaris (clown anemonefish)
Lineage: Eukaryota; Metazoa; Chordata; Actinopteri; Pomacentridae
Source: Ensembl